CAGGCAAACACAUGCAGUCCAUGACAGGCGGCUAGACAUGAAUGCUGAAGAAAGAAGCUGGAGGAAGGCAGGUUUUGAUUCUACAUGAGGCAGGUUUUGAUUCUACAUGAGGAAGCAGUGUGGGCUCGGCGCAACACAAGAGUGGCUGUCCCAGAGGGGCAGCAUGUGGCUGUGUCUCCUGAAUACCCCCUUAUCCCAGACCUGCUGAGAUUGUUCCCUCCCGCCCUGCAUGGACCGAGCAGAGGCAAGAAAUGUGCUUCCAGCACUACAGCAAGGAGUCGAUGGCAGAAAAUCCUUUCCCACGAGAGCCGUGUACAUCUCCCAUGGUCUUCGUCCUGUGUAAUGCUGACACUUUCCACCUAGAAGUGGGGCCUGGAUUCUGAGAGAGCCCAGAUGUGAAGCUGCAUGCUUUCCAGUAACAGGGAAUAGAAGAGAAAAUGGCACUCACCCAGGCUCUCUCCUGGGACAUGUGCUGUGGGAGCCCUGAGCCAGCGUGUCUGCAGACCAGCCCCCCCCGCCCCUUAACUCAUUAUGCCUGGGAGUCUGCAAAAAAGAGACCCCCACAGAGACAAUGAGGUGCCCAGGGAGCCCCAGCUGUUCCGGCUCCUCUCUGGUCAAGUCCCUGAAGCUCAGAACCAGCAUUGAGAGUGAGCAGCCUUUCAGAGGAUCCCAACCCAAGUUGGCAUCCACCUGCAACUGCCUGGGAGAUGCCAAUUAGAAUGCCCUGCCUUUCCAGAGUCCCUGACCCAUGGAAACCAUGGAGAUAAUCCAUGAGUAUUGAGGAUUUAAGCCAUUAAGUUGGGGAUGAUUCAUUCCACAGCAUUAGGUGACCAAUCAGACCAAUCAACUGACACAUCACGGAGCCACUUCUGAUUCAGUCUGUGUUGCAUCAUCACCAUUCAUUACAACUAACACAAAGGGACCGGAGGUUUCUCCCCGGGCAGGCAGGGUUCAGGGAGGAAGCCGGGGUCUCAGAUAAUACAGCUACCCUCUCACCUCUGAUGCGCUUUGAAUGAUGACUUAUGUAUGCGUAGUGUCCCUUUCAUUUCAUUUUGCCCUGUGUAAACACAUUCCUCUAACCUCAUUAUUAACAAUGACCAAGUAGAAAUUAAUCAGGGGAACGAGAGCCAGCUUUUUCACUGAUGACCGUGAAUGUGGACCUGGGACAAGGCCCUCGUAAGGCACAGAGCUGCAUGGCUGUUGCGUAUUCCCUCUGAUAUUUUUCGCACCGGUUUUCACACCAGCAGACACAGGCUCUUUUAAGACAGUGCAGAAAACAUCUCUAAAGGAGGUGACCACAUACACUUUUUGGCUACUUGAAAAUGACUGGAACUUAGGAAAAUGUUCCACCUUGUGACAUUCGCUCCUUUUUGGAUUGACUUGCCAGAUUCACUGAGUAGUUUGGCACAAAGUAGAAAUUAAUACAUUGUCUCACUAAUUCUCCAUUUUCCCUAAAAGUAGAGCCAUUAACUAAGAAGAGAGGAUAUUGUACUAAUGUGGCCUAAGCAGAAAAAUCUAAAACAAAUAUCCCAACCCGAGAAAGGACAUACGUGUUGGUUUGUGCAUUUGUUGAGGCAGGUGGUGUGUGUAUGUGUGUGUGUGUGUUUCCCACCACCCAUGAGGCAAGCAUUGGACCAGCCACUAGAGACGCUGCAAUGGGGAAAAAAAAAAAAAAAUGGCACAUGUGGUUCUUAUCCUCAUGAGAUUUACUCUCUAAUUGGAUAAACACAAAUCAUAUUUGUUGUGUUGAGGCUUUGGAACACCCAGGAGUUUCUUAUAUAACUUCUUAAAGAAUACACUAGAACAACCCCACUUAGAAAACCAAUUUGGCAUUAUCUACUAAAACUGAACACCCGUGGGUUCGUACCCCACUGAAAUGUAUACACAUAUUCAGCAAAAGGCAUACAUGAGAAUAUUCAUGGCAGCACUAUUUGGCAUAGCUCCAGAAUUCAAGUAAGAUGCCCAUCAACAGGAGAAUGUAUUAAAAAGUUGUGAUAUGUACGUAUAAUUGAAUGCUGUACAGAAAUGGAAAAAAAGACCUGCAAACUAUACAGAGCAAUACAAUGAAUUUAAGCAACAUCACACUGAGUAAAAACACCUAUGACCUCCUUCCAUUUAUAUGAAGUACAAAAGUGAGGAGGCAGACUGUGCCACUAGAGGUAAGGAUAGUGGUUAUCUUCGGUGAGGAAGUGGCUAGAAGUGGACUUGUGGUUGGGGGUGGGGGGGAGGGAGCUUCUCGCUGGUGGUAGUGGUGGUUCUGCUUUUUGAUCUAGGGGUUGUAGCAUGGACGUGCUCGUUUUCUGUGCAUCGUUCUGUCUGUGUGGUACACGGUACUGUAGAAAGAUAAAAUGAUCGACGACUCCCUUUUGUCUGCAGGUUUAAUCCUAAAGCCUUGUGAAGGAAGAUUAAACUAUGAUCAAGUUCUAGUUUACCCCUGCAGACUUUCUUCCUUCCCCUUCCUGCCAGUAUUGACCCAACUGAAGUAGCCCCCAUUUCUCAAACACAGUGUACCGUCUUCUGUCUUCUGCAUUUGAUGAAUGGGGUUUUCUUGCCUAAAAUACCCCCGGUUCUCUUCCCCACCUGCAGGGUCUCUUCUCAUCAGGUGCCUCAGCUCAGCUCUAGUAUUAAAUUGAGCAGGAAAUCAACCCACGUGGCUUUCUCCACCCCCGUAUUUCACCUCAUGUGCAGUUCUCUUCCUUUGCUGUAUUUCGUAUUAUACUAUCUUUAAAGUGAUCCAUGUACAUGUCUAAUCAUCCACUGCUGAAACCUUGCAGACCCUAAACUGUGAGUAAGUUCAGUGCAGAGCUCUUGUCUGAGGCUUCAUUCACUCCCACAAGGCUGGUAUAGUUCCUGGCACAACGUAUGGGCUCAUAAACGCUUGAAUAAUAAGUUUAUGAGUGGAUCCUGGAGUGGAACUGACUUGGAAUCCAUGUACAACUCAAUUUUCAAAUAAAGAAAGGCAUCUGGUGAACUUCCAUUGGAAGAGAGAGCAAAACUAUCAGUGGUUCUAUAACCAACCCAACAAGGAGCUGGGAUUUCUGGAGUGUUCCAGAAAACUGAUGUCACCAGACUGAUGUAGGUUGGCGUGUUGGAUAAAGACAUCUUUGAGCACACAAAAAAAAUGCCUUUUAAGCAAAUGAAUGAUAAAGGCAGUUUCCACACAGUUAUCUCCCUCCUAGUCAUUCAAUUCUUUUAAUUCACACAUGCAUUUAUGUCUUUAUUCAUUCAUUCAUAGCUGCUUAUUGAGCAGUGACUACAUGCCAGGUUCUGUACUAGGUGCUCAAGUCCACAAGUGACUCAGUCACUGCCUAUAAAGGGAAGAAAACCCUGCAAACCUAUGACUAGGUUGACCCAACUUGAUUAUUGAGAAUCAGGAACCAUCUGCACCAUUUUUUCUGCUCUGGGUGUCUUUGGUAUCCCCGCUUUGUUUAUAGGAAACAUAUCUAAAGGAUCCCUGAGUCAUGGCCAUGUUUCUGCCUUUAUGCAUUCCCUUGGCAAUAAAUCAUAUUUUUGUAAGCUAAUAAUGACAGCAACCCCC
This 3538-nucleotide long non-coding RNA is filed under the name Sus scrofa (pig). RNAcentral's name for it is "lncRNA (ENSSSCG00000051917.1)". Lineage: Eukaryota; Metazoa; Chordata; Mammalia; Artiodactyla; Suidae. The record is from RNAcentral.